This is a long non-coding RNA of Corvus hawaiiensis (hawaiian crow), 314 nucleotides long. RefSeq lists it as uncharacterized. The transcript has 3 exons. Lineage: Eukaryota; Metazoa; Chordata; Aves; Passeriformes; Corvidae. The record is from RefSeq and is a predicted model, not a curated record.
AAAAAACUCUCCUGGAACAAGGUAGCUAUGACAGCAGAGAGCUAGAAAAGGGAAAGAGCUGAUAUGAGCCAGCUUGUGCUCUUGAUGCAGGACCAUCUUCAUUUGACCAAAUGGAAAAUGUGACAUUGCCUUAUGGAUACGUGAAACAGCCAAACCUGAGCAGCUCUCCACCUGCUCAUGUCUGAAUUUAUAAAGGAAGCUUCCCCUUGCUCCAUUUGGGUUGAGGCAGCAGGAUUGUUUCCAUGAGAUGCUCAGCUGGAAGAUGAGCCCCAGGCUAUGGCUGGAGUGAAUGGCAUGUCAUGGGGCAAGGCCAG